This 497-nucleotide ribosomal RNA is filed under the name uncultured bacterium. Its description in RNAcentral is "partial 16S ribosomal RNA". It matches the Rfam family "Bacterial small subunit ribosomal RNA", at positions 28 to 507 of the family's 1533-position model. The record is from RNAcentral.
GAUGAACGCUGGCGGCGUGCCUAAUACAUGCAAGUCGAGCGAACAGACGAGGAGCUUGCUCCUCUGACGUUAGCGGCGGACGGGUGAGUAACACGUGGAUAACCUACCUAUAAGACUGGGAUAACUUCGGGAAACCGGAGCUAAUACCGGAUAAUAUAUUGAACCGCAUGGUUCAAUAGUGAAAGACGGUUUUGCUGUCACUUAUAGAUGGAUCCGCGCCGCAUUAGCUAGUUGGUAAGGUAACGGCUUACCAAGGCAACGAUGCGUAGCCGACCUGAGAGGUUGAUCGGCCACACUGGAACUGAGACACGGUCCAGACUCCUACGGGAGGCAGCAGUAGGGAAUCUUCCGCAAUGGGCGAAAGCAUGACGGAGCAAAGCCGCGUGAGUGAUGAAGGUCUUCGGAUCGUAAAAAUCUGUUAUUAGGGAAGAACAAAUGUGUAAGUAACUAUGCACGUCUUGACGGUACCUAAUCAGAAAGCCACGGCUAACUACGUG